RNAcentral lists this ribosomal RNA (499 nucleotides) under uncultured bacterium. RNAcentral's name for it is "bacterial SSU rRNA". It matches the Rfam family "Bacterial small subunit ribosomal RNA", at positions 29 to 507 of the family's 1533-position model. The record is from RNAcentral.
ACGAACGCUGGCGGCGUGCCUAAUACAUGCAAGUCGAGCGGAAUGAUGAAGAAGCUUGCUUCUUCUGAUUUUAGCGGCGGACGGGUGAGUAACACGUGGGCAACCUACCUUGUAGAUUGGGAUAACUCCGGGAAACCGGGGCUAAUACCGAAUAAUCCAUUUUGCUUCAUGGCGAGAUGUUGAAAGACGGCUUCGGCUGUCACUACAAGAUGGGCCCGCGGCGCAUUAGCUAGUUGGUAGGGUAAUGGCCUACCAAGGCGACGAUGCGUAGCCGACCUGAGAGGGUGAUCGGCCACACUGGGACUGAGACACGGCCCAGACUCCUACGGGAGGCAGCAGUAGGGAAUCUUCCACAAUGGACGAAAGUCUGAUGGAGCAACGCCGCGUGAGUGAAGAAGGUUUUCGGAUCGUAAAACUCUGUUGUAAGGGAAGAACACGUACGAGAGUAACUGCUCGUACCUUGACGGUACCUUAUUAGAAAGCCACGGCUAACUACGUG